UAUGAAGUGCCUGAAAAAAGGACGAUUUUGAUAGAAUCGAUAAUGUGCCCAAGGCACCUUCAUAA
This 65-nucleotide transfer RNA is filed under the name Callosobruchus chinensis (azuki bean weevil). Its description in RNAcentral is "tRNA-Ile". The record is from RNAcentral. Lineage: Eukaryota; Metazoa; Arthropoda; Insecta; Coleoptera; Chrysomelidae.